Pan paniscus (pygmy chimpanzee) is the source of this 2100-nucleotide long non-coding RNA. Lineage: Eukaryota; Metazoa; Chordata; Mammalia; Primates; Hominidae. The record is from Ensembl.
AUGCUCCUCCUCUCUUCUCCACUUCCCCCCUCCUGCUCUCCCUGGCCCGCUCCCUGUCCCCUGCUAUCCCAGUCUCAUCCUGGCCCCCUUUCCCUCCUAACUCCGCUGUCACUUCUCUCCUCUUGGUCCCUAGAAGUGAGAGUCCUGAGGCACAGGAAGAGCACCAAGUCUUUCAACAUGAUGUUCCCGAUGGGCGACAACUCGGAGCUACUGGCUGAGAUUAAGGCAGGCAAGAGCAUGAAGCCGAUGCCGCAGAGCAAGGGGCUGACCACAGUGUUCUCAGGCAGCGGGCAGCCGGCCUUCCAGGUAGGCGGGCCCAGCAGGAGCCUGCGACCCGGCUUCCCCGGCCCUAGGCCACCAGGCGCUCAGCCCCACCGCUUUUCCCUGCAGCCCAAUUUGCCGCUGCCGUCUGUGUCACCUGCACCGUCACCAGUCCGGAGCCCCACACCGCCAGCUGCGGGGUUUCAGCCGCUGCUCAACGGAAGCUUGGUUCCGGUGCCGCCCACUACUCCUGAGCUGGGGGUGCAGCUGGACGUGGAGGCGCUUAUCCCCACGCACGAUGAGCAGGGCCGUCCCAAGCCCGAGUGGAAGCGCCAGGUGAUGGUGGACAAGAUGCAGCUGAAGAUGUAGGAGGAGGAGCAGAGGUGGAAAGUGGGUGGGGCGGGGUGCCCAGGGAGCCCUGGGGUCUGCAUCUGGAUGCACAGCCCAUCCCCCACGCCACCCCCAACACCAACCUCGGGACCUCCUAUUUUCUUUCUUUCUUUCUUUUCUUUUUUCUUUUCGUGAGACAGAGUCUUGCUCUGUCGCCCAGGCUGGAGUGCAGUGGCGCGAUCUCGGCUCACUGCAAUCUUUGUCUCCUGGGUUCAAAUGAUUCUCCUGCCUCAGCCUCUCAGGUAGCUGGGAUUACAGGCGCAUGCCACCACGCCCAGCUAAUUUUUUUGUAUUUUUAUUAGAGACGGGGUUUCACCAUGUUGGCCAGGGCUGGGAUUACAGGCAUGAGCCACCGUGCCCGGCCAUUUUCCUUAGGGAAAGCAGGGUGGCACGACCCCUUUUGGGGCUUGUCCCAGUCUCCACACACACCCCAAGCAGCUUGUCCUUGGAAGUGAGACAGCAGCCUUUCUCAGACUCUCCUUCACCUGCCCAGCACCUGGGAUCUGGUUAAAAGGCCUGUUCGGAUUCAGGAGGUCUGGGCAGGGCUGAGGUUCUGCAUUUCUAGCCAGCUCCUGGGUGAGGCUGCUGAUGAUGCUGGUCCAAGGACCACACUGAGUAGCCAAGAGAGCUUUGGUCUCAGUCUUAGGGACCUGGGCUCCAUUGCUGCGCUGCCGCCUCCCAGCUGCCGAUACUGAGCCUCGUCCAGCCUCAGUUUCCUUCUCUGUAAGGUGGGCUGAUCAGCACCAGCUGGCAGGAUGAGUUGCCUUCCAUUCAUCCAACAACUAUUCCCCGAAUGCCAUUUAUUUUUAUUUUUAUUUUUAUUUUUUUUAUUUUUUUGAGACAGGGUCUCACUCUGUCACUGAGGCUGGAGUACAGUGGUGCGAUCUUGACUCACUGCAACCUCCACCUCCUGGGUUCAAGUGAUUCUCCCGUCUCAGCCUCCCGAGUAGCUGGGACUACAGAUGCCUGCCAACCAUGCCCGGCUAAUUUUUGUAUUCUUAGUAGAGAUGGGGUUUCACCAUGUUGGCCAGGCUGGUCUCAAACUCCUGGCUUCAAGUGAUCUGCCCGCCUCGGCCUCCCAAAGUGCUGGGAUUACAGGCGUGAGCCACCACGCCUGGCCCCCGAGUGCCAUUUAUGUGCCCCACACGCUUGUAGCCUCUGGGGAUUCAUGGUGAACAUAUCAAGGCCUGCUCUAAGGUGGCUGCGGACAUGUGUGCGAGUCACCAAGCACACAAAAUGGGGCAGUGUGAGAGAGUGGGUGGCAGUGGAGAGAAGUAUCUGGGCUGAUGCAACACAGCCAGCAGCAAUGGGGAACGCAGGGGACUGGGGCAGCCCUAACCGGCCACCUUAUAUGUGGGCUGGGGGGUGUGUUAGGGAAGGAGGAGGUGAUGUCUAAGGUGACACUUGGAAGACGAGUGAGCGGUGGCCAGGAGGAGAGGGGGCUGAAGA